RNAcentral lists this ribosomal RNA (2918 nucleotides) under human gut metagenome. RNAcentral's name for it is "bacterial LSU rRNA". It matches the Rfam family "Bacterial large subunit ribosomal RNA". The record is from RNAcentral.
AGAGCAUCGGGUGGAUGCCUUGGCGUCGGAAGGCGAUGAAAGACGCGGUAAGCUGCGAUAAGCCUCGGGGAGGAGCUAAACAUCCUUUGAUCCGGGGAUUUCUGAAUGGGGAAACCCGGCGGGAGUCAUGUCCCGUCGCCUGCAGGUGAAUACAUAGCCUGCAAGGAGCCAACUCGGGGAAGUGAAACAUCUCAGUACCCGAAGGAAAGGAAAUCAAACGAGACUCCCUCAGUAGCGGCGAGCGAAGGGGGAAGAGCCCAAACCGUGCGGAUUCGUCCGUGCGGGGUUGUAGGACCGGCAUAAGUGAUUCGCGAGUAGGCAGGGGAAGGAGGCUGGAAAGCCUCGCCAAAGCGGGUGAAAGCCCCGUACCCGAACCUGAAAACGACGCUGCCGGCACCUGAGUACCGCGAGGCACGUGAAACCUCGUGGGAAUCUGGGAGGACCAUCUUCCAAGGCUAAGUACUAACCGACGACCGAUAGUGCACCAGUACCGUGAGGGAAAGGUGAAAAGAACCCCUGUCAGGGGAGUGAAAUAGAAUCUGAAACCUGAUGCUUACAAGCUGUGGGAGCCGGGCAUGCCCGGUGACCACGUGCCUUUUGCAUAAUGAGUCAGCGAGUUGAUCUGUACUGCGAGGUUAAGCGCAAGUGGAGCCGUAGCGAAAGCGAGUCUGAAUAGGGCGACAAGUAGUGCGGAUCAGACCCGAAACCGGGUGAUCUAUCCAUGAGCAGGUUGAAGCAAGGGUAAAGCCUUGUGGAGGACCGAACCAAUAACGGCUGAAAACGUUGUGGAUGACUUGUGGAUAGGGGUGAAAGGCCAAUCAAACCCGGUGAUAGCUGGUUCUCCCCGAAAUAUAUUGAGGUAUAGCCUCGUGGAUUGUCUAUUGGAGGUAAAGCACUGACAGAGCUAGGGGUCCUACCAGAUUACCAAACUCUUUCAAACUCAGAAUGCCAAUCAGAUGUACCACGGGAGUCAGACGGCGGGUGCUAAGGUUCGUCGUCGAGAGGGUAAGAGCCCAGAUCAACAGCUAAGGCCUCCAAAUCUAUGCUCAGUGGUGAAGGUGGUGACGUUGUAGAGACACCCAGGACGUUGGCUUAGAAGCAGCCAUCGUUUAAAGAAAGCGUAAUAGCUCACUGGUCUAAUGACGUUGCGCCGAAAAUGUAACGGGGCUAAGCAUAGUGCCGAAGCUUUGAAUUCCGCGUAUGCGGUCUGGUAGGGGAGCGUUCUUCAUGGGCUGAAGGCGUGCUGUAAAGCACGUUGGACUGUGGAGAAGUGAUUAUGCUGACAUGAGUAACGAUAAAACGGGUGAAAAACCCGUUCGCCGUAAACCCAAGGUUUCCUGGGUAAAGGUAAUCUUCCCAGGGUUAGUCGGCCCCUAAGGCGAGGCUGAAAGGCGUAGCUGAUGGGAAACGAGUUAAUAUUCUCGUACUUGUGUGUCCGCGCGAUGGAGGGACGCAGGAAGGUAAACGGUCCGGGUGUUGGUAUACCCGGUGCAAGCAGGUAGGCGUGCAGCACAGGCAAAUCCGUGCUGCUCUACGCUGAGACGCGAGUCCGUGGCCGCAAGGCCUGAAGCCGUUGAGCCUCUACUGCCUAGAAAAGCUCCUAAGUAUAGGAUACGCAAACCGUACUGCAAACCAACUCAGGUGGGUGGGAUGAAUAAUCCAAGGCGCUCGAGAGAACUCUGGCCAAGGAACUCGGCAAAAUAACCCCGUAACUUCGGAAGAAGGGGUGCUCUCUAGGGUGACAUGUUUAACAUAUGAAGCCCCGGGGAGCCGCAGUGAAUUGGUGGUGGCGACUGUUUACUAAAAACAUAGGUCUGUGCGAAGUCCUAAAGACGACGUAUACGGACUGACGCCUGCCCGGUGCUGGAAGGUUAAAAGGAGGGGUCAGCGCAAGCAAAGCUCCGAAUUGAAGCCCCAGUAAACGGCGGCCGUAACUAUAACGGUCCUAAGGUAGCGAAAUUCCUUGUCGGGUAAGUUCCGACCUGCACGAAUGGCGUAACGAUCUCCACACUGUCUCGGCCAGAGACUCGGUGAAAUUGAAGUCGCGGUGAAAAUGCCGUGUACCCGCAGAAAGACGGAAAGACCCUGUGCACCUUUACUAUAGCUUGACAUUGGGAUUUGGACCAGCAUGUGUAGGAUAGGUGGGAGACUGUGAACCCUGUACGCUAGUAUGGGGGGAGUCAUUGUUGAAAUACCACCCUUGUUUUUUCAGGUCCCUAACCCUCCACCGUGAUCCGGUGAGGGAACAGUGUCUGGUGGGUAGUUUGACUGGGGCGGUCGCCUCCUAAAGAGUAACGGAGGCAUGCAAAGGUUCCCUCAGGCUGAUUGGAAACCAGCCGUCGAGUGCAAACGCAAAAGGGAGCUUGACUGCAAGAGAGACAUCUCGAGCAGGUACGAAAGUAGGUGUUAGUGAUCCGGUGGUCCCGUAUGGAAGGGCCAUCGCUCAUUGGAUAAAAGGUACGCCGGGGAUAACAGGCUGAUCGCAUCCAAGAGUUCACAUCGACGAUGCGGUUUGGCACCUCGAUGUCGGCUCAUCACAUCCUGGGGCUGAAGCAGGUCCCAAGGGUACGGCUGUUCGCCGUUUAAAGUGGUACGCGAGCUGGGUUUAAAACGUCGUGAGACAGUUUGGUCCCUAUCUUCUGUGGGCGCUGGAGAAUUGAAAGGGCCUGUCCCUAGUACGAGAGGACCGGGAUGGACGCACCCCUGGUGGACCUGUUGUCGUGCCAACGGCACAGCAGGGUAGCUAUGUGCGGAAGGGAUAACCGCUGAAAGCAUCUAAGCGGGAAGCCUGCCUUAAGAUAAGUUCUCCCUGGAGCAAUCCCUGAAGGGCCGAGGUAGACUACCUCGUCGAUAGGCUGGAGGUGGAAGCGCCGCGAGGCGUGGAGCUGACCAGUACUAAUAGCCCGUGCGGCUUGUUU